UCUCAAUAUGGCCUAUUAAAAGCCUUCUCAGCUUCAUAGCUUUUAAAGCAGAAAGGGCAGGAAUGGCCUAAGAUGGAGCUGAAUCCCUGUAAUCAUUUCUUUUUCUGCCCUCACCCCUGAACUUUGAAGGCUAGUACAUAUCUUGUAACGGUCUGCUGUUUAAGCUGCUAGAAAGCUAGUCUCUGGAAGAGAUAGUGAUGUGUCACUGAAUCUGUGGUUCACAAAGAACUAAGAAUUGACUUCGG
Molecule: long non-coding RNA, 245 nt
Filed under: Bos taurus (domestic cattle)
Lineage: Eukaryota; Metazoa; Chordata; Mammalia; Artiodactyla; Bovidae
Description: long non-coding RNA NONBTAT022268
Source: RNAcentral